This 406-nucleotide ribosomal RNA is filed under the name uncultured bacterium. RNAcentral describes it as "partial 16S ribosomal RNA". It matches the Rfam family "Bacterial small subunit ribosomal RNA", at positions 28 to 526 of the family's 1533-position model. The record is from RNAcentral.
AUUGAACGCGGGCGGCAGGCCGAACACAUGCCAGUCGAACGAGUGGCGCACGGGUGAGUAAUGUCUGGGCACCUGCCAGAUGGCGGGGGAUCACUACUGGAAACUGUCGCUACUACCGCCUACCAUCGGAUGUGCCCAGGUGGGAUUAGCUAGUAGGUGGGGUACCGGCGCACCUAGGCGACGAUCCCUAGCUGGUCGGAGAGGCUGACGAGCCACUCUGGGACGGAGACACGGUCCCGACUGCUACGGGCGGCAGCAGUGGGGAAGAUUGCACAAUGGGCGCAAGCCUGAUGCAGCCAUGCUGCGUGGAUGAAGAAGGCCUGCGGGUUGUAAAGCACUUUCAGCGAGGAGGCGUUACUCGCAGAAGAAGCACCGGCUAACGCCGUGCCAGCAGCCGCGGUAAUAC